This 253-nucleotide ribosomal RNA is filed under the name uncultured bacterium. Its description in RNAcentral is "partial 16S ribosomal RNA". It matches the Rfam family "Bacterial small subunit ribosomal RNA", at positions 524 to 776 of the family's 1533-position model. The record is from RNAcentral.
GACGUAGGUGGCAAGCGUUGUUCGGAAUCACUGGGCAUAAAGCGCACGUAGGCGGCCAAGUAAGUCAGGUGUGAAAUACCUCGGCUCAACCGAGGAACUGCGCCUGAUACUGCUUGGCUUGAGGUCCGGAGGGGAGAGUGGAAUUCCCGGUGGAGCGGUGAAAUGCGUAGAGAUCGGGAAGAACGCCGGCGGCGAAAGCGACUACCUGGCCUGUUCUUGACGCUGAGGCGCGAAAGCUAGGGGAGCAAACGGG